Molecule: long non-coding RNA, 714 nt
Organism: Vidua macroura (Pin-tailed whydah)
Lineage: Eukaryota; Metazoa; Chordata; Aves; Passeriformes; Viduidae
Exons: 3
Source: RefSeq, a predicted model, not a curated record
GGGAAAAGGGGGUGAUGCCGGCGCCCUUGAGCUGGAUCUCCCAGCGCUCGCCCCGCGGGCCCAGCACCUCGCCCAGUGAAUAGCAGCUACCUCAAUGGUGGGUCAAGACCAAACCUCUCCAAAGUGCGCACACGUACUUUCUCUCAAGGGUCCAGUGGAUGCCUCCACUCAAACCUGGACAUAGCAGAGGACAGCACUUUAAGUACAAAUGACUGUGCCUGAUGUAAAGCCAAUGUUGGAGUGCUUUGCUGGACUGGGACUACAGCUGUCAGCUCCUUGCAAGACUGAGCACUGGAGACAUGAAAAGAAAAGCAACAAAAUCAACUCACCACACCUAACUCUGAACUCUGAAUUUAAGUUCUCACAUUGAGCAGUCAGUCUCCCUAUGUGUUCAGUAGGAUAGGGAAAUUCAUCCUUUUCUUCUUAACCAGUUACAUGUGGUAGGUAGAGAAACCAGCUCCCCUGCUUCAGCAUUACACUCAGAUUCCCCUCAGCAGGACAGAAUUAGUUCAAUAAUGUUCAUCAGGAAAAUGUGUUAAAUGGUGGAAUUAUCCUGUACUAGAUCUAGCUAACCAGUGUUUCCUCUUAAUAAAAAUACUGGUUAAUUAGGAAAAUAAAUACCUUCAACAGAAAUGGUGGUUAAAAUAUUUUAUUUUUUAUAUAAUAGAACAUACUGCUGUUAACUUUAAAUCACUUUAAAGGCACACAUUGUUA